This 1350-nucleotide long non-coding RNA is filed under the name Hordeum vulgare subsp. vulgare (domesticated barley). RNAcentral describes it as "72TARMSHOOT". The record is from RNAcentral. Lineage: Eukaryota; Viridiplantae; Streptophyta; Magnoliopsida; Poales; Poaceae.
GGACAUUUCAUUCGUCAGUGCUCACCGUUCUUUCCUCCAUGCUCACCUUCAUUUCCUCCCAGCUCACCUGACUUUCCUCCAAGUUGAAAUCCUUUCCGGCUCGCCUAACCCCGGUCCUCUCAGUGUCAGUAAGGCUUGGUAGAUCAUUCUCACCCUUCUUGACAAUCACCAAGUUGAUAACAGACAGGCCUUGGCUGACAAUGCAACCACGGACGGACUUUCUCCUGCGCUCACCAUUACGCCUGCAAAAACCACGGAAGCAAGGUGUGCCCCUGUGAAGCAAAAGGCGGACACGCCCAGAAGUAAGCACUCCUUGCUUCACCGGGAAACCCUGCUUAUCACAGCCACCCAUGACCUUGAAGAUAUAACCCUUGAAUUCCUCACCCAGAAGAUCACCAACAACCUCAAGAAAACAAGUUGAGCAAGGAGGAAAGAAGGUGAGCAAGGAGGAAAGAAGGUGAGCAAGGAGGAAAAAAGGUUAGCAAGGAGGAAAGAAGGUGACCAAGGAGGAAAGAAGGUGAGCAAGGAGGAAAGAAGGUGACCAAGGAGGAAAGAAGGUGAGCAAGGAGGAAAGAAGUGGAAAAAGAGAGAAAGAAGGUUAACAAGAAGGAAAGAAGGUUGACAAGAGGGAAGAAGUGUCACAAGGAGGAAAGUAGAGGUACACUCUGGGAGUUAAGGUGCAAGAGAGGAAAUGAAGGUUUCCUUCGCGUAUCGAGGGCGGGCUAGGGUAUGGGAUCGUGACACGGAUAAAAAAAUUCAACUUUGCUCUCGGGCGGUAAAAAGGGGGGAGGGGGCGCUUCACCUUUAGGCCUGCGACCCCCCACAGAUAGUAAGUGGGGGGGACGGGAAAGAGAACCGCUUUGUCCGCAACCAGGGUGGCGGGUCGGAGGGGGGUUUCUCCGCCCUUGAUCUGAAUUCACUUACCAUUCAGCAGAUUACAUUUCCCGGGGAGGAGAUUAAUUACUUCUUUUUUUGUGUAAUACCAAGGGGGUGCCUAAUUUCUAUCGGUUGGCACCAAAUCCCCCUUUUUGGCGGGUCGGAGAGAAUAAUAAAAAAGCGCCGCCACCGAUUUUUCUUUUCGAAAAAUUUCCGCAGCGCUUCGGGGUGUGGUGUUUUUCCCGGGGUUAAAUCUCAUUUGGGGGAAAAAGGGACGUUUCACCCGGUGGGUUUGUUGUUUGUCCACCCCGUUUGUGGAAUCUACGGGGCCGGGCCCUGACGCCCGCCCGGGGGGGUGGGAUAAUAUAGUAGGGGGGGGGGGAAAUUUCGACGCGGCCGCCGCCUGAUAAAAUUUUCAAAAUAUUUCUCCUCCCCUUCCUCCUUGUGGAGAAAGAACCAUAACUAUUACAUGCC